Serendipita vermifera MAFF 305830 is the source of this 72-nucleotide transfer RNA. It matches the Rfam family "tRNA". From Rfam's summary of the family: Transfer RNA (tRNA) molecules are approximately 80 nucleotides in length. Their secondary structure includes four short double-helical elements and three loops (D, anti-codon, and T loops). Further hydrogen bonds mediate the characteristic L-shaped molecular structure. tRNAs have two regions of fundamental functional importance: the anti-codon, which is responsible for specific mRNA codon recognition, and the 3' end, to which the tRNAs corresponding amino acid is attached (by aminoacyl-tRNA synthetases). tRNAs cope with the degeneracy of the genetic code in two manners: having more than one tRNA (with a specific anti-codon) for a particular amino acid; and 'wobble' base-pairing, i.e. permitting non-standard base-pairing at the 3rd anti-codon position. Lineage: Eukaryota; Fungi; Basidiomycota; Agaricomycetes; Sebacinales; Serendipitaceae. The record is from Rfam.
UCCGAUAUAGUCUAGCGGUCAUGAUUUGUCGUUCUCACCGACAAGGCCGGGGUUCGACUCCCCGUGUCGGAA